ACCUGAAACCGUGUACGUACAAGCAGUGGGAGCCUCUUAAUGGGGUGACUGCGUACCUUUUGUAUAAUGGGUCAGCGACUUAUAUUCUGUAGCAAGGUUAACCGAAUAGGGGAGCCGAAGGGAAACCGAGUCUUAACUGGGCGUUAAGUUGCAGGGUAUAGACCCGAAACCCGGUGAUCUAGCCAUGGGCAGGUUGAAGGUUGGGUAACACUAACUGGAGGACCGAACCGACUAAUGUUGAAAAAUUAGCGGAUGACUUGUGGCUGGGGGUGAAAGGCCAAUCAAACCGGGAGAUAGCUGGUUCUCCCCGAAAGCUAUUUAGGUAGCGCCUCGUGAAUUCAUCUCCGGGGGUAGAGCACUGUUUCGGCAAGGGGGUCAUCCCGACUUACCAACCCGAUGCAAACUGCGAAUACCGGAGAAUGUUAUCACGGGAGACACACGGCGGGUGCUAACGUCCGUCGUGAAGAGGGAAACAACCCAGACCGCCAGCUAAGGUCCCAAAGUCAUGGUUAAGUGGGAAACGAUGUGGGAAGGCCCAGACAGCCAGGAUGUUGGCUUAGAAGCAGCCAUCAUUUAAAGAAAGCGUAAUAGCUCACUGGUCGAGUCGGCCUGCGCGGAAGAUGUAACGGGGCUAAACCAUGCACCGAAGCUGCGGCAGCGACACUAUGUGUUGUUGGGUAGGGGAGCGUUCUGUAAGCCUGUGAAGGUGGCCUGUGAGGGUUGCUGGAGGUAUCAGAAGUGCGAAUGCUGACAUAAGUAACGAUAAAGCGGGUGAAAAGCCCGCUCGCCGGAAGACCAAGGGUUCCUGUCCAACGUUAAUCGGGGCAGGGUGAGUCGACCCCUAAGGCGAGGCCGAAAGGCGUAGUCGAUGGGAAACAGGUUAAUAUUCCUGUACUUGGUGUUACUGCGAAGGGGGGACGGAGAAGGCUAUGUUGGCCGGGCGACGGUUGUCCCGGUUUA
Molecule: ribosomal RNA, 960 nt
Filed under: Escherichia coli
Lineage: Bacteria; Pseudomonadati; Pseudomonadota; Gammaproteobacteria; Enterobacterales; Enterobacteriaceae
Description: partial 23S ribosomal RNA
Rfam family: Bacterial large subunit ribosomal RNA
Source: RNAcentral